UAUCUCUCCGUACGGGGAAGGAUGAGAAGCUUCGACUAAGGUUCGAUUCGAGCGAAAGCGAGAAAGCGUUGCCGCAGGCAACGACCCGAAGGGCGAAGCGCGCAGCGCUGAGUAAUCCUUCCCCCGUCAUCC
Molecule: small RNA, 132 nt
Filed under: Salmonella enterica
Lineage: Bacteria; Pseudomonadati; Pseudomonadota; Gammaproteobacteria; Enterobacterales; Enterobacteriaceae
Also listed under: 3 other names
Description: RtT sRNA
Rfam family: RtT RNA
About the family: This family represents a bacterial cis-regulatory element known as RtT RNA.
Source: RNAcentral